RNAcentral lists this ribosomal RNA (253 nucleotides) under uncultured bacterium. Its description in RNAcentral is "partial 16S ribosomal RNA". It matches the Rfam family "Bacterial small subunit ribosomal RNA", at positions 524 to 776 of the family's 1533-position model. The record is from RNAcentral.
UACGGGGGGGGCAAGCGUUGUUCGGAAUUACUGGGCGUAAAGGGCGCGUAGGCGGCCCGCUAAGUCGAACGUGAAAUCCCCAGGCUCAACCUGGGAACUGCGUCCGAUACUGGCAGGCUUGAAUCCGGGAGAGGGAUGUGGAAUUCCAGGUGUAGCGGUGAAAUGCGUAGAUAUCUGGAGGAACACCGGUGGCGAAGGCGGCAUCCUGGACCGGUAUUGACGCUGAGGCGCGAAAGCUAGGGGAGCAAACGGG